Molecule: ribosomal RNA, 162 nt
Filed under: Rhinella horribilis
Lineage: Eukaryota; Metazoa; Chordata; Amphibia; Anura; Bufonidae
Description: partial 16S ribosomal RNA
Source: RNAcentral
UCAGACCGGAGUAAUCCAGGUCAGUUUCUAUCUAUACAUGAGUUUCUUCUAGUACGAAAGGACCGAAGAAACACGGCCUAUAUUUAUACAAGCCGUAGCCACUAAAUUAUGAUUUAAACUUAAUAAUAUAGUAGCCCGUAAAUGUACUCAAAACAAGAGUUG